Molecule: ribosomal RNA, 433 nt
Filed under: uncultured bacterium
Lineage: Bacteria
Description: partial 16S ribosomal RNA
Rfam family: Bacterial small subunit ribosomal RNA
Source: RNAcentral
AACGAACGCUGGCGGCAUGCCUAACACAUGCAAGUCGAACGAAGGCUUCGGCCUUAGUGGCGCACGGGUGCGUAACGCGUGGGAAUCUGCCCUUUGGUUCGGAAUAACAGCUGGAAACGGCUGCUAAUACCGGAUGAUGACGAAAGUCCAAAGAUUUAUCGCCAGAGGAUGAGCCCGCGUUGGAUUAGGUAGUUGGUGGGGUAAAGGCCUACCAAGCCGACGAUCCAUAGCUGGUCUGAGAGGAUGAUCAGCCACACUGGGACUGAGACACGGUCCAGACUCCUACGGGAGGCAGCAGUGGGGAAUAUUGGACAAUGGGCGCAAGCCUGAUCCAGCAAUGCCGCGUGAGUGAUGAAGGCCCUAGGGUUGUAAAGCUCUUUUACCCGGGAAGAUAAUGACUGUACCGGGAGAAUAAGCCCCGGCUAACUCCGUG